GACGAACGCUGGCGGCGCGCUUAACACAUGCAAGUCGAACGGAAAGGCCCUGCUUUUGUGGGGUGCUCGAGUGGCGAACGGGUGAGUAACACGUGAGUCACCUGCCCUUUACUUUGGGAUAACUUCAGGAAACUGGGGCUCAUACCGGAUAGGAGCUCCUGCUGCAUGGUGGGGGCUGGAAGGUUUCGGCGGUGGGGGAUGGACUCGCGGCUUAUCAGCUUGUUGGUGGGGUAGUGGCUUACCAAGGCUUUGACGGGUAGCCGGCCUGAGAGGGUGACCGGCCACAUUGGGACUGAGAUACGGCCCAGACUCCUACGGGAGGCAGCAGUGGGGAAUAUUGCACAAUGGGCGGAAGCCUGAUGCAGCAACGCCGCAUGCGGGAUGAAGGCCUUCGGGUUGUAAACCGCUUUCGCCGGUGACGAAGCGUGAGUGACGGUAAUGGGUAAAGAAGCACCGGCUAACUACGUG
This 468-nucleotide ribosomal RNA is filed under the name uncultured bacterium. RNAcentral's name for it is "partial 16S ribosomal RNA". It matches the Rfam family "Bacterial small subunit ribosomal RNA", at positions 28 to 507 of the family's 1533-position model. The record is from RNAcentral.